RNAcentral lists this ribosomal RNA (254 nucleotides) under uncultured bacterium. RNAcentral describes it as "partial 16S ribosomal RNA". It matches the Rfam family "Bacterial small subunit ribosomal RNA", at positions 524 to 776 of the family's 1533-position model. The record is from RNAcentral.
UACGGAGGGUGCAAGCGUUUAUCCGGAUUCACUGGGUUUAAAGGGUGCGUAGGUGGGCAGGUAAGUCAGUGGUGAAAUCUCCGAGCUUAACUCGGAAACUGCCGUUGAUACUAUUUGUCUUGAAUAUUGUGGAGGUAAGCGGAAUAUGUCAUGUAGCGGUGAAAUGCUUAGAUAUGACAUAGAACACCAAUUGCGAAGGCAGCUUACUACACAACGAUUGACGCUGAGGCACGAAAGCGUGGGGAUCAAACAGG